This 500-nucleotide ribosomal RNA is filed under the name uncultured bacterium. RNAcentral's name for it is "partial 16S ribosomal RNA". It matches the Rfam family "Bacterial small subunit ribosomal RNA", at positions 30 to 523 of the family's 1533-position model. The record is from RNAcentral.
AUUGAACGCUGGCGGCAUGCCUUACACAUGCAAGUCGAACGGCAGCACGGACUUCGGUCUGGUGGCGAGUGGCGAACGGGUGAGUAAUAUAUCGGAACAUACCUUGUAGUGGGGGAUAACUAUCCGAAAGGAUAGCUAAUACCGCAUACGCUCUAAGGAGGAAAGCGGGGGAUCGUAAGACCUCGUGCUAUAAGAGAGGCCGAUAUCUGAUUAGCUAGUUGGUGAGGUAAAGGCGCACCAAGGCGACGAUCAUUAGCUGGUCUGAGAGGACGACCAGCCACACUGGAACUGAGACACGGUCCAGACUCCUACGGGAGGCAGCAGUGGGGAAUUUUGGACAAUGUGGGCAACCCUGAUCCAGCAAUGCCGCGUGAGUGAAGAAUGCCUUCGGGUUGUAAAGCUCUUUUGUCAGGGAAGAAACGGUUGUGGCUAAUAUCCAUGGCUAAUGACGGUACCUGAAGAAUAAGCACCGGCUAACUACGUGCCAGCCGCCGCUGUAA